GGUGGCUGAGGCUUUUUGCUGCUGGUGCUCUGGGGCUUUUUUUUUCCCCCAAAAUUCACGCUGUGUGCUGCUUUGGGAGAGAGAAGAGGCAGAGCGUGGUCCCAGCCUGCUUUACCCUGUGCCCUGUGGGAGACGAGGUCCUGGCGUGCUGCGUUUUGGAGAGGGGAAGCUGAGGCUUUCACCCACGGGAGCCUCCCAAGGACGCGGAUUCCUGCUAUUCGUCAAAUGCAUUUCACCGUGCUCUGCUCUGACACUGCUGGAUGUCACGGAUGGCCUUCAGGCUGCCUUUUCCUGUCCUCAGUGAGGCCACCUCUCCUUUUCCAGGUGACAACCCCCCUCCCACCCAGCUGCCUGCGUGCAGGAGCAGCUUUUGGGCCAUGGGAUCCAGCGACGCCGCGUCCUGCUGCCCAUCUUGUGCGUAAAUUAUUCACACCGCUCGCAAGCUGCUCCGUGCAGCCCGCAGUCGUCCUGCGGUUGAUUUUAAGGCAUGGUGACAGGUCGAGGGCUGGAUCAGUAGCGUUAAUACGCGAGCACGGGGCGCGCGGCGCCAGCGGAGCAGAUGUCGUGUAAGUCACAGCGUGUUAACGCCGCGCUGAGGCAUCGCGGUGACGCUGCUGAGAUGAUGCCACCUUGGAGAGCAAACGGGGCGUAGUGGUAAUCAAGGAUGCUCCGCGCUGCUUCUCCCACGAGCAUCUCCAUCGGUUCUGUUAAACCUCGUCCACGACCCGCUCCGGGAUGCUGCGGGAGAUGGGAUGCUCCUCGCCUGGUUUUUGGUGCCUGGAGUGAAGUUUUUGGUACCCGUGCAGGUUGUGCAUCUUCUCUUAAAGAUCAGCACAGAGAAAGAAAUGCCUUCAGGGUGCUGUUCGCUUGUGCUAGUGUAAAGCAAGAAAGCAAAGAUGAAGGGUGUCUGCUUUUUUCCUUCUUGACUGUUAAGGUCGUGAAGGUCAUGGCCAAGAUGUGAAUACCUAAAAAAACCAUCUCGGGUGAUGAAAGUGAAGCCCACCUUGGGUUUCAAUUUGGUUGGAUGCGAGUCUGGUCAGAAAGUCAGGAAGAAAAAGGCCUCAUCCCUUUGCUGCCUGCCAGCUGCCUUCUCUGACCUGCACCUUUGCAAGGAGAGAGUCAGCUGGAAGGAAGCGAAACCUUGGACUUGGAUUCAAAGCCAAAAUCAGGUUCUGUCACUGCCAAGCUUGGAAAUGCUUGUGGGGUCUUUGCGCCCUUCGUAGCUCAGAGGUUCUCUUUGCAGCCUUCCCACCCUGCCAAAAAAGCAAACAAACAAACAAAAAAACCCAACCCCCAAAACAACGGGGUUACUUGAAACCUCACGCAGGAUGGCUGCAUUUUUUUUUUGCAGCUCCUUUGCAAGGGCCGGGAUCCUGUCCACAGUGGGAAAUGGGUGGCAUGCUCCCCCAAGUGCAGGGGCCCCUGCAGCCUCUCCAGUUGCUUUUGGGGGUGCCCGCAGGGGUCCCAGGGUCUCGCUGGGGGCCGGGGCAGCUUUGCACCUGGCAGGAAGGGAUUCGAGGAGGCAGCAGCAAAAGCUCAGCCAGCGUGCCAAAAUCCUCAUUAAAGUCUCAUGAGCUUGGCAGUAUAUAAAUAUGAAACUUGGACAAA
Oxyura jamaicensis (ruddy duck) is the source of this 1608-nucleotide long non-coding RNA. RefSeq lists it as uncharacterized. The record is from RefSeq and is a predicted model, not a curated record. Lineage: Eukaryota; Metazoa; Chordata; Aves; Anseriformes; Anatidae. The transcript has 2 exons.